This 254-nucleotide ribosomal RNA is filed under the name uncultured bacterium. RNAcentral's name for it is "partial 16S ribosomal RNA". It matches the Rfam family "Bacterial small subunit ribosomal RNA", at positions 524 to 776 of the family's 1533-position model. The record is from RNAcentral.
UACGGGGGGAGCAAGCGUUGUUCGGAUUUACUGGGCGUAAAGGGCGCGUAGGCGGCCACCGCAAGUCAGUUGUGAAAUCUCUGGGCUUAACCCAGAAAGGUCAACUGAUACUGCGGGGCUAGAGUGCAGAAGGGGCAACUGGAAUUCUCGGUGUAGCGGUGAAAUGCGUAGAUAUCGGGAAGAACACCGAUGGCGAAGGCAGCCAUCUGGACCGACACUGACGCUGAGGCGCGAAAGCGUGGGGAGCAAACAGG